Molecule: ribosomal RNA, 910 nt
Filed under: uncultured Chloroflexota bacterium
Lineage: Bacteria; Bacillati; Chloroflexota
Description: bacterial SSU rRNA
Rfam family: Bacterial small subunit ribosomal RNA
Source: RNAcentral
UGUUGGUGGGGUAAUGGCCUACCAAGCCUACGACGGGUAACUGGUCUGAGAGGACGAUCAGUCAGAGGGGGACUGCGACACGGCCCCCACUCCUACGGGAGGCAGCAGCAGGGAAUCUUGCGCAAUGGACGAAAGUCUGACGCAGCGACGCCGCGUGAAGGAAGAAGGCUCUAGGGUUGUAAACUUCUUUUCUGAGGGAAGAGUAAGGACGGUACCUCAGGAAUAAGCCUCGGCUAACUACGUGCCAGCAGCCGCGGUAAUACGUAGGAGGCAAGCGUUGUCCGGAUUUAUUGGGCGUAAAGGGCGUGCAGGUGGCAUAGAAAGUUUUUGUUGAAAUCUCCCGGCUUAACUGGGAGGGGUGCAAGAAUACUUCUAAGCUAGAGGGCAGUAGAGGAAAGUGGAAUUCAUGGUGUAGUGGUGAAAUGCGUAGAUAUCAUGAGGAACACCAGUGGCGAAAGCGGCUUUCUGGGCUGCACCUGACACUGAGGCGCGAAAGCAUGGGUAGCAAACCGGAUUAGAUACCCGGGUAGUCCAUGCCAUAAACGAUGGAUACCGAGUAUGGGGGGUAUCGACCCCUUCUGUGCUGAAGCUAACGCGUUAAGUAUCCCGCCUGGGAACUACGGUCGCAAGACUAAAACUCAAAGGAAUUGACGGGGCCCCGCACAAGCAGCGGAGCGUGUGGUUUAAUUCGAUGCUAAGCGAAGAACCUUACCAGGGUUUGACAUACUAGUAGUACUGAUCCGAAAGGUGAUGGACCCCUCGGGGAGCUAGUACAGGUGCUGCAUGGCUGUCGUCAGCUCGUGCCGUGAGGUGUUGGGUUAAGUCCUGCAACGAGCGCAACCCCUGUGGUUAGUUGUUUUCUCUAGCCAGACUGCCCCACAAAAGGGGAGGAAGGUGGGGAUGACGUCAA